GAUGAACGCUGGCGGCGUGCCUAAUACAUGCAAGUCGAGCGAACAGACGAGGAGCUUGCUCCUCUGACGUUAGCGGCGGACGGGUGAGUAACACGUGGAUAACCUACCUAUAAGACUGGGAUAACUUCGGGAAACCGGAGCUAAUACCGGAUAAUAUAUUGAACCGCAUGGUUCAAUAGUGAAAGACGGUUUUGCUGUCACUUAUAGAUGGAUCCGCGCCGCAUUAGCUAGUUGGUAAGGUAACGGCUUACCAAGGCGACGAUGCGUAGCCGACCUGAGAGGGUGAUCGGCCACACUGGAACUGAGACAUGGUCCAGACUCCUACGGGAGGCAGCAGUAGGGAAUCUUCCGCAAUGGGCGAAAGCCUGACGGAGCAACGCCGCGUGAGUGAUGAAGGUCUUCGGAUCGUAAAACUCUGUUAUUAGGGAAGAACAAAUGUGUAAGUAACUAUGCACGUCUUGACGGUACCUAAUCAGAAAGCCACGGCUAACUACGUG
Molecule: ribosomal RNA, 497 nt
Filed under: uncultured bacterium
Lineage: Bacteria
Description: partial 16S ribosomal RNA
Rfam family: Bacterial small subunit ribosomal RNA
Source: RNAcentral